Molecule: ribosomal RNA, 473 nt
Filed under: uncultured organism
Description: partial 16S ribosomal RNA
Rfam family: Bacterial small subunit ribosomal RNA
Source: RNAcentral
GUACACUCCUACGGGAGGCAGCAGUGGGGAAUUUUGGACAAUGGGCGAAAGCCUGAUCCAGCCAUGCCGCGUGCAGGAUGAAGGCCUUCGGGUUGUAAACUGCUUUUGUACGGAACGAAACGGCCUUUUCUAAUAAAGAGGGCUAAUGACGGUACCGUAAGAAUAAGCACCGGCUAACUACGUGCCAGCAGCCGCGGUAAUACGUAGGGUGCAAGCGUUAAUCGGAAUUACUGGGCGUAAAGCGUGCGCAGGCGGUUAUGUAAGACAGUUGUGAAAUCCCCGGGCUCAACCUGGGAACUGCAUCUGUGACUGCAUAGCUAGAGUACGGUAGAGGGGGAUGGAAUUCCGCGUGUAGCAGUGAAAUGCGUAGAUAUGCGGAGGAACACCGAUGGCGAAGGCAAUCCCCUGGACCUGUACUGACGCUCAUGCACGAAAGCGUGGGGAGCAAACAGGAUUAGAAACCCCAGUAGUCC